GGGAGCUCUCCCAUAUGGUCGACCUGCAGGCGGCCGCGAAUUCACUAGUGAUUAGAGUUUGAUCAUGGCUCAGAACGAACGCUGGCGGCAUGCCUAACACAUGCAAGUCGAACGAACCCUUCGGGGUUAGUGGCGCACGGCUGCGUAACGCGUGGGAAUUUGCCCUUGGCUUCGGAAUAACAGUUAGAAAUGACUGCUAAUACCGGAUGAUGUCUUCGGACCAAAGAUUUAUCGGCCAGGGAUGAGCCCGCGUAGGAUUAGGUAGUUGGUGGGGUAAAGGCCUACCAAGCCGACGAUCCUUAGCUGGUCUGAGAGGAUGAUCAGCCACACUGGGACUGAGACACGGCCCAGACUCCUACGGGAGGCAGCAGUGGGGAAUAUUGGACAAUGGGCGCAAGCCUGAUCCAGCAAUGCCGCGUGAGUGAUGAAGGCCUUAGGGUCGUAAAGCUCUUUUACCCGGGAUGAUA
RNAcentral lists this ribosomal RNA (467 nucleotides) under uncultured Alphaproteobacteria bacterium. RNAcentral describes it as "bacterial SSU rRNA". It matches the Rfam family "Bacterial small subunit ribosomal RNA", at positions 1 to 450 of the family's 1533-position model. The record is from RNAcentral. Lineage: Bacteria; Pseudomonadati; Pseudomonadota; Alphaproteobacteria.